GAUGAACGCUGGCGGCGUGCCUAAUACAUGCAAGUCGAGCGAACAGACGAGGAGCUUGCUCCUCUGACGUUAGCGGCGGACGGGUGAGUAACACGUGGAUAACCUACCUAUAAGACUGGGAUAACUUCGGGAAACCGGAGCUAAUACCGGAUAAUAUAUUGAACCGCAUGGUUCAAUAGUGAAAGACGGUUUUGCUUUCACUUAUAGAUGGAUCCGCGCCGCAUUAGCUAGUUGGUAAGGUAACGGCUUACCAAGGCAACGAUGCGUAGCCGACCUGAGAGGGUGAUCGGCCACACUGGAACUGAGACACGGUCCAGACUCCUACGGGAGGCAGCAGGAGGGAAUCUUCCGGAAGGGGCGAAAGCCUGACGGAGCAACGCCGCGUGAGUGAUGAAGGGCUUCGGAUCGUAAAACUCUGUUAUUAGGGAAGAACAAAUGUGUAAGUAACUAUGCACGUCUUGACGGUACCUAAGCAGAAAGCCACGGCUAACUACGU
RNAcentral lists this ribosomal RNA (496 nucleotides) under uncultured bacterium. RNAcentral's name for it is "partial 16S ribosomal RNA". It matches the Rfam family "Bacterial small subunit ribosomal RNA", at positions 28 to 506 of the family's 1533-position model. The record is from RNAcentral.